UCCCAUAUGGUCUAGCGGUCAGGAUUCUUGGUUUUCACCCAGGCGCCCGGUUCGACUCCCCGGUAUGGGAA
RNAcentral lists this transfer RNA (71 nucleotides) under Ameiurus melas (black bullhead). Its description in RNAcentral is "tRNA-Glu". It matches the Rfam family "tRNA". Rfam says of the family: Transfer RNA (tRNA) molecules are approximately 80 nucleotides in length. Their secondary structure includes four short double-helical elements and three loops (D, anti-codon, and T loops). Further hydrogen bonds mediate the characteristic L-shaped molecular structure. tRNAs have two regions of fundamental functional importance: the anti-codon, which is responsible for specific mRNA codon recognition, and the 3' end, to which the tRNAs corresponding amino acid is attached (by aminoacyl-tRNA synthetases). tRNAs cope with the degeneracy of the genetic code in two manners: having more than one tRNA (with a specific anti-codon) for a particular amino acid; and 'wobble' base-pairing, i.e. permitting non-standard base-pairing at the 3rd anti-codon position. The record is from RNAcentral. Lineage: Eukaryota; Metazoa; Chordata; Actinopteri; Siluriformes; Ictaluridae.